CUGCAUCACAAAGGGCCAGCACAGCAAGGGGCACCAGGAAUCCAGGGACCGUUAUUUAAUUGAUGGCACUGGCAGAUGAUGGUCUCUCUUCCACGCAUGAGACAUGGUGCAGGUCUGCAUGAUGUCGUCUUCUUUUCCCUUGUGCAUUCUCAGAACAGAUAGCCCAGAUGGCACUGUGAUUCACUGUAAAGCAGGAAGGAGAUAAUGCAGCAGCAUCUGCAGUGCUGCCAGGAGGAACACCUCUAUAGCAAUUGGGUGGAUCUUGGCUACCUCUGGGCCAAUUCUCCCUGUGUAGAUCUUGAUGAAGAAGAGAGUUCUGGGGAAUCCUGUGAGCCCUGUGGCAUAGCAUUUAAGUGACUAUUUUGGUUUGACUAGCAUAGUUCGAGCUGAACCAGUUCUCACCGUAAUAUCCGCUUUUGGUUCCGAAGGGACAUAGUCUUCAUAUACCUCAGCACUUCCUGAAGACUUUCUUGGUACUGUUCAAAGUAAGAUAUAAUGAGUUGCUCGGUUGCAUACAUUCUUUGCUUCAUUGCUUGUUCUCUCAGACGUGCUAUCAUAACCAAGGCACAUGGUGAGAUGGAAAGACACUGCAUCCGAAGUCAAGGGACCAAGGUUUCAGAUUCUCAAUACCACCGUUGCAUGAUGGCCAACGGACAUAUCACUCUGCACUUUGCUUCUUGAUUUCUUCAUUGAGGAACAGUAAAAUGGUUGAGUCUGUUCCCGGCUGUCAGACUGCCAAAGGCUGUAGAAGCAUAGCACCAGCAUCUGCUCGACUUCUUACGAGGCCUCAGGAAGCUUAUAAUCAUGGCAGAAAGUGAAGGGGAAGCAGGUGAUGAAAAUGAAACACAGAAAAAUAAAGAAACUUGUCCAAGCUUGUACAGUUGGCAAAUUGACUCACUGGAAGACUUCCAUCCAGAUGGAAAAAGAGAGAUCUCCAAGUCAGAAGGACCGCCUCAUUUUCCAGUAGUGCUGAACUCCACCAUGCAGACCAUAAACCUCUGCUCCGUCUUGUCCCUAGUGUCCCAAAUAAAAUUUGUAAAAGGGGAAAACAAACAAACAACAACAAAAAACAAUGCCCACAUCUUUCAUGAUGAGGAAAAUGGAUCCACGAAUGGAAAGAUUUCUGUUUUGGCUGAGUACACAAGGACCCAAUCUGACAAUCCACAGGAUAUAUUGAGUCUCUCCAUGUAUCUAGGGGUCUGCACUAGCGGUGUUCUACAGAUACCACUAUCUCAAACUAUUCCCAACUGAAUAUCUUAUCUUUUCACCCAAAUUGCUCAUUCAGUCACCCAAUCAAACCUAGAACUUGGAUAUCAUCCACAUGACUAUUCCUCACCCGCUAUUACCUGCCAAACUGUCUGAUCUACUCAGUCAUUAAGUUAACUUAUGUUGAUUUGGUUUCCUUAUUACUUUUCCUCUUUUACCCAUUUCUUCUGGUACUGCUGCUUCGUUCAGUUCCUAGUUCGCUCUUUCCCAAACUACUGUGGUAAUCUCCCUUCUGAUUUCAAUGGCAUCUCAUCUCACGUUGAAUGACCUACAAGGUCCUCCGUGAGUCUAAUGUCUCUGCUACCUAAAUUUUCUCAUCCUAAAUUUCAGCGAUGUUGAACUAUUCGCAGGUCUCCACUUCAUGUGAUUUUAUAUCCCAUGCCUUUGAAUAUUCUUCUUUUCUUGGAGUGUCACUCCCACAUAAUUGUAUCUGUCAAACUCAUAUUCCUAUUUUAAGACCCAGCUCAAGCAUCAUUUUCUAGAAAGACUUGCUGGAAGCCCAAAUUGUUGAUCAUUCUCUUCACUGGGUCCCCUCUUUAAUUUGUACAUACUGCAUUAUUAUACUUGGUAGCUGUAUUGCCAUUGUUUGCUUGCAGUCCUGUAUCUCCUCUACAAAUGUAAAUGGCCAAAGGCAGGAACUAUGGCUUUUCAUUUUUUUGUCUUCGGCAUCUAUCACGUUAUCUGGCACACAGCAGAUUCUCAGGCCAGAGGAUCUACCACCACAGAACCAUUCUAGAUGUCAAUUCCUGGUAAGAAAUGAUUGGGAGUUAACAGAAGAACCACAGAGAGGACUCUGGAUUCUCAGCUAGUGUUUGAUACCAUCUAAGGGUUCCAUCAGUUUAGUGCUCACACAGCACUUAUUAGCUAUGAGACCUUGACCAGAUGAAGAAACUGAGACUUAGAAAGGAAGAAAGAGUCACCCAGGUAGCUGGUCACAGAAUCCGUCCCUCCCUAGGGAUCGAGGAAGAAAGUGCUAACACUGCCAAGUCAUGCUGCUUGAGAAGGGUUAAUCUGGCUUCCCAAUUUCUACGUUCCAAAGCACAUUACAGACCUGCAGAUAGACUAAAUAUUCAACAACACUUUCCGCACACUCCUCCAGGUCCUGGGAUCAGCUAAAUCCACUAAAGCUUUGGCAUUUAGCAAGCCGAAUCCAAAUCGACUGUUCACCAUCAAGCCUGCUCCAUUCUUUUUCCAUCCAGGGUUAUUGGCCAGUGGGUCGUACUCAGAGGUCCAGACAACCAAGUGCUGCAUAUCUCGCCAGUCUCAUGGUGUCCAUCAAAAGCCUCAGCACUUUCAGCAUUAUGAACCCACAGAAGAGGCCCUGAAUUCCUUCUUAGGAAGAGUGAGAUGUUAAAGACACAGACUGGUUACCUACUGUAAACAUGUAUUGCCUUUUUCUUUAUCUAUCAGAAGUGUCAAGAAACUCUUAGCUGUUUGAGCUCACCGUUGCAAGGCACUAUACUAAUACUGUGAGGAUAUUCAAGGAUGUGGUUCUUGUCUUCAAGAAGUUUACAAUCCAGUAAAAAGAAUUAAGGCUUUUCAUAAUUCUAUCUGCUGAAUGCUAUAUUCAUAGUUUAAUGCAUUGUGGAAGUUCAGAGGAGAAAGAAUUUCCAUGGAAUAGAAAGAUCUCGGAAAGCUUUGUGGGGGAGAAAUAUUGGAGCUGGACUUUGACAGGGGGUAGAAUAUUAAGAAGUGGAGAUAGAGAAGAAGGCAUGAGGCCACUGGAGCAAAAGCACCAAGGUGGGACAGUGCAGAUGUGGCCCAGGUGACAGCCUGGUUUGCUGGAGCAGGGAGAGCCAGUGAGGAGUACCGAGCUAGAGCGAUGAGAACCUUGUGUGCCAGAAAGGGAGCUUAUACAUUAUUCUUUAGGCAGUGGAAAUCUGAGGAUUUUUGAGCAAGUAAAUAGUAAAAUCAUAAGUCUCAGUAAGAUUAAUUUAGCAACACUAUAAAGAUAAAUCAGAGAUAUAAGGGAUUGUUGGAUCUAUUAUAAUAUGAUGAGGCCUUCCUCAAUCAACCUAUUUAAAAUUUCCACUCCCCCACAUCAUCCCGAGCUCUCUUAUUCUGCUAUAUGUGCAUGUUCUCCUUCCAUAACACAUACAGGCUUCUAACAUGCUGGAACACUCAUUUUCAUUAUGUAUUAUUAAUGUCUGUCUCUCUGGUUCUAAUUUAACUGUGAGAGGUGGUGACAUCUUUAUCUAACUUGUUCUCUGAUGUGUAGCACCCAGAAGAAUGCUGAGCACAGAGUGUAAGCUCAGCAGAUAUGGUUGGUUCCGAGACUGAACAUGCCUAAGUGCUAACUAGCCCCAAAUAGAACUUUAAAACAUAUUGCUCCUAGUCAUCAGUCAGAUUCUCAAACUUCUCCUUGACUUUGAGACCUGUAUUGUUCUCUGAAGCCAAUCAAGCAUUAUGUAAUAAGUAGAUGCCCCAGUUUUUACUCUUCAAAGUUCCCGUCUCAGCACUCGGUUGGAGAACAAUCAUCAGACAAGUCUGGCUCACUUUGCUGCCUUCUCCCCAGAGCCCAUCAUGUACUGGUUCAGAAAUCCCCUGGUGACAAGAAAGGCCGUGGACACUCCUAAACAUUGAAGAGUUCAGCUCCCGGUUAAAAAUGGUGUGUGAUUUUUUCGGGCCUGACCAUAGGCUACUUGAAAGGUUGUACCCGGCACACCACACGGGGAAGCUGCCUUCCCACGCAGACACAGUGCACAGCUGGUGCCUCGCAGCCUCUGAGAGAAGUUCCCAUGAAAGCCGCAGGCCCCGGCCCCGUCAUGUUCGAUCCAUAUUGACAUUCCUAGCUGGUGAGAGCUUUCCUUUCUAGGUCCCUCGUCAGGCGCCUCUGCCUAGGCCUCCUGGUGGAGACAGGAGGGGAAACAUCCAGGCACUUUCCUCAUUCAGACUCUGCCUGAUGCUUCUCCACUCCUGCACUCUCUUGGUUUCUCUCUGCCUCAUACCCGAGAGUCCAUAAAAUUGCCGAAGCCUUUUGUUCGGAUCUCCCUCAACAGUGCGAUGACCCUCAUGUCUGUGCUGAGCCACUCAACCAGUGUGCCAAGCCAUGGGGAAAAGGAGCCGGGCGAGUCAGUGUUUUCUCCGGUUCAGACUCUUGCUUAUAUCACAGCAGUAAGUGAUUAAACGUUCAGUGCUUUCAUUUUUGGCUUGUUGCAUUAAUGGGUUACUCCACACAUGACAGCUCAGCUCACCUGAGCUGAGCUCAUGACAAACAUACCACUUCACCCUGGAGAGGGAUUGACAGAGGCCUUGGAAGGUCACCAGUUUAGGAAUCCUCACUGAGUCCCAGAAUGCUUGCCUUAUAAUCGCCUGGUACAGGUGUAAAUAGAAUAGAGCAUUUUAUUGAAGUGCUUGCUUCCUUCCAGUCUUUUCAAAGGAGUUUUAGGUAAAAGCCUCAUAUCAAGGCAGUCAAUGGGCAACACACCAGUUUUCCAUUUGGAUCAUCAGUGUGCAGGUGCGUGUAUGGAGGCAGGAAGGAGGAAGCGUACUGAGGAGGCUUAAGGCAAGAUACUGAUAAUCAUGAUUUUCACAUAUAGCACACAUGUCCUAUAUUGCUGCAGUAGAGCCGUUAUUUUAUAUGUUUGCAGGUUUUAUUGUUUUAAAAGUUUCCUUUAUCUAGUCUUUGCAAAAUAUUCAAGGAGCUUCAUUGUCAUGCAAUUAGAAAAGCCUAUUUUUCUAACAGAGCUGUUCUUCAUUUGUGUGCUUGUGUUUUAUAAAUAAAAAGGAGCUGCUGACAACAGUGCAACUC
Molecule: non-coding RNA, 5017 nt
Organism: Callithrix jacchus (white-tufted-ear marmoset)
Lineage: Eukaryota; Metazoa; Chordata; Mammalia; Primates; Cebidae
Source: RefSeq, a predicted model, not a curated record